This 21-nucleotide microRNA is filed under the name Physcomitrium patens. Its description in RNAcentral is "ppt-miR902k-3p". Its record names the gene ppt-miR902k-3p. The record is from miRBase by way of RNAcentral. Lineage: Eukaryota; Viridiplantae; Streptophyta; Bryopsida; Funariales; Funariaceae.
ACGAAGGAUCUGCAAUAUAAA